AGGGUGUUAAGUUAAGAAAGACUUUAAUACUUCAAAUAUUAAUGUGGGCGUUAGCCUGUACCUUG
Molecule: transfer RNA, 65 nt
Filed under: Xyloredo sp. E88
Lineage: Eukaryota; Metazoa; Mollusca; Bivalvia; Myida; Pholadidae
Also listed under: 1 other name
Description: tRNA-Trp
Source: RNAcentral